Rhipicephalus microplus (southern cattle tick) is the source of this 443-nucleotide long non-coding RNA. The record is from RefSeq and is a predicted model, not a curated record. Lineage: Eukaryota; Metazoa; Arthropoda; Arachnida; Ixodida; Ixodidae.
UCACAAUUUUAGCUACUGAGCAUCUACGCCAAACGUGCUGAAAUACCUACAAUGAAAGCUGUGAUAGUCCUUGCCUUUACCGCAUUUGCCCUAAUUAUACAUGACUGCUACAGCGAAGUAUUGGACACUACGCCAAUGUCAUUUAAAGACAAGUGCACCAAUGAGACAUGCCGCCGUACUGUCGACAAUAGUGGGAGAAGACGCACUGAAGGCUGCCCCUCGGGUUGCCUCUGUGUUCUCCAGGGAAGUGAUAGUCAAGAUAACAUGAAUGGCACAUGUUACCUUUUGACCACGACCACAAAGCCCACCACUACUAUCAACGAGUCGUAAUCGCAAAGUUUUAGUAGCAACAGAGCAACAACAUUCUUGAAAUGAUAAGUGAAGAAGCAAAGAAAAGCACGCUACUUUUUCCCUCCAAAAAUAAACGUAUUUUCAAGAAUACU